AGGAUGAACGCUGGCGGCGUGCUUAACACAUGCAAGUCGAACGAUGAAGGCUGGAGCUUGCUCUGGCUGGAUUAGUGGCGAACGGGUGAGUAACACGUGAGUAACCUGCCCCAGACUCUGGGAUAAGCGCUGGAAACGGCGUCUAAUACCGGAUACGAGCUUCCACCGCAUGGUGAGGAGCUAGGAAAGAUUUCGGCUGGGAUGGACUCGCGGCCUAUCAGCUUGUUGGUGAGGUAAUGGCUCACCAAGGCGACGACGGGUAGCCGGCCUGACGAGGGUGACCGGCCACGACUGGGACUGAGACGACGGCCCAGACUCCUACGGGAGGCAGCAGGUGGGAAUAUUGGCACAAGUGGGCGACGAAGACCUGAUG
RNAcentral lists this ribosomal RNA (373 nucleotides) under uncultured soil bacterium. RNAcentral's name for it is "bacterial SSU rRNA". It matches the Rfam family "Bacterial small subunit ribosomal RNA", at positions 26 to 388 of the family's 1533-position model. The record is from RNAcentral.